CCUACGGGUGGCAGCAGUGGGGAAUAUUGCACAAUGGGGGAAACCCUGAUGCAGCGACGCCGCGUGAGUGAAGAAGUAUUUCGGUAUGUAAAGCUCUAUCAGCAGGGAAGAAAAUGACGGUACCUGAUUAAGAAGCCCCGGCUAACUACGUGCCAGCAGCCGCGGUAAUAAGUAGGGGGCAAGCGUUAUCCGGAUUUACUGGGUGGAAAGGGAGCGUAGACGGCAGAACAAGUCUGGAGUGAAAUGCCGGGGCUUAACCCCGGAACUGCUUUGGAAACUGGGAAGCUAGAGUGCAGGAGAGGUAAGUGGAAUUCCUGGUGUAGCGGUGAAAUGCGUAGAUAUCAGGAGGAACACCAGUGGCGAAGGCGGCUUACUGGACUGUAACUGACGUUGAGGCUCGAAAGCGUGGGGAGCAAACAGGAUUAGAUACCCGGGUAGUC
RNAcentral lists this ribosomal RNA (440 nucleotides) under uncultured bacterium. RNAcentral describes it as "partial 16S ribosomal RNA". It matches the Rfam family "Bacterial small subunit ribosomal RNA", at positions 338 to 795 of the family's 1533-position model. The record is from RNAcentral.